Molecule: ribosomal RNA, 500 nt
Filed under: uncultured bacterium
Lineage: Bacteria
Description: partial 16S ribosomal RNA
Rfam family: Bacterial small subunit ribosomal RNA
Source: RNAcentral
AUUGAACGCUGGCGGCAGGCCUAACACAUGCAAGUCGAGCGGUAGAGAGAAGCUUGCUUCUCUUGAGAGCGGCGGACGGGUGAGUAAUGCCUAGGAAUCUGCCUGGUAGUGGGGGAUAACGUUCGGAAACGGACGCUAAUACCGCAUACGUCCUACGGGAGAAAGCAGGGGACCUUCGGGCCUUGCGCUAUCAGAUGAGCCUAGGUCGGAUUAGCUAGUUGGUGGGGUAAUGGCGCACCAAGGCGACGAUCCGUAACUGGUCUGAGAGGAUGAUCAGUCACACUGGAACUGAGACACGGUCCAGACUCCUACGGGAGGCAGCAGUGGGGAAUAUUGGACAAUGGGCGAAAGCCUGAUCCAGCCAUGCCGCGUGUGUGAAGAAGGUCUUCGGAUUGUAAAGCACUUUAAGUCGGGAGGAAGGGCUGCAGGUUAAUACCUUGCAGCCUUGACGUUACCGACAGAAUAAGCACCGGCUAACUUCGUGCCAGCCGCCGCAGUAA